GAGACUAGGACGUUGAUAGGUUGGAUGUGGAAGCAUAGUGAUAUGUGAAGCUGACCAAUACUAAUUGCUCGUGAGGCUUGACUAUACAACACCCA
Molecule: ribosomal RNA, 95 nt
Filed under: Acinetobacter baumannii ABNIH4
Lineage: Bacteria; Pseudomonadati; Pseudomonadota; Gammaproteobacteria; Moraxellales; Moraxellaceae
Description: partial 23S ribosomal RNA
Rfam family: Bacterial large subunit ribosomal RNA (bases 1-85)
Source: RNAcentral